AAAAUGGAAAUCCACACCAAAACUGUCACAUCCCGACCCUUAUAUUUUUAUCUUAUUUAUUAGCUUGAUUAUAAUAAGAAUUUUACCGUCUCCGUCAUUGAGGUAAUAGUUUAAUCGGUCCCUAGAGGUGUUUUGAGGGAAGAUUAAUUUCGGGGAAUUAUUCGUGGGAGAAAAUAUGACAACGGUAAAAAUGGUAAAUUUUAGCUAGUAAAAGGUAAUUUUUAUUCGGGUAUUAUUUUUCGGGGUGUUUUAUUUUGGAUUUGGGUGGUAUAAGAAGGUUGGACCGGGCCAAGGGGUGGUCAAAGCCCAGCCCUUUUUCUCUCUCUCUCCCUCCCGGUUUUUCCGCACCCGAGCCCUCUCUCCCCGCCGGUUUUCUUCUUGGCUGUCCGUCGUCGUCCGGCCACCAACCGCCGCUGCACCGGUCCCGUUCAGUUGGCCUCCGACCCAGCUACAUCCCUGGACCGGUGACAGCUCCCCUAGCACCGUCGUGAGGAAGAUAUCGGGCCCGAGAGGUCCGACUGUGUUAAGCCUCCCGACGUCUGAACUCCCUCCUCCGGCCACCAAAACCGGCGAUCCUUGGCUCGUUUUGUAGCCCUCCUCCCGUGCAGCAACCCCUCCAAACAGCUCACCCUCUCUUGAGCUUGGUAAGGAGAAAGGUGAAGUUGAAAUUCUAGAGCGUUUUUUAUGUUUUUAGUCGAUUACCCUAGUUAGGCUUGGAAUUGGUGUUUGUGCUAGUUAAGAAAGUUGUAGAGCAUGAUAAGAGGAUUAUUCUGUCAAAAUUUCAUAGGAAUCGGAGGUCGCCGGAAUUGGCCUCCGGCCGCCGCCGGCGCCGCCACCGGUUGGGAGAUUUUUAAUGUUGUUAAAUUUGGAAUAUUAAGGGGAGUUUAUUGAAGUGAGUUAUGGAAUUUUUGGAUGAGUUUUGGAUAGGUUUAUGAAUUUCCGAAGUGUGGUAUUUUUGGCGGUUAAUUAAUUUAGAAUCCGGCCGUAGGAUUUAAGUCGUAUUUUUGGGGAGGUUGUAUUUACGGCUGCCGAGUAUGAUAUUUAAGUUCGGAUCGUUUCGAUUUAAGAUUAUCGAAGUUAGGCAAUGAUGAGCGUAUUUAUGGCUCUCGGGUAAUUUUGCCUAUUUUGAUUAAAUAUUGGAU
RNAcentral lists this long non-coding RNA (1142 nucleotides) under Fragaria vesca (wild strawberry). Its description in RNAcentral is "long non-coding RNA (FVES_LNC005177)". Lineage: Eukaryota; Viridiplantae; Streptophyta; Magnoliopsida; Rosales; Rosaceae. The record is from RNAcentral.